UUAAGCGACUAAGCGUACACGGUGGAUGCCCUGGCAGUCAGAGGCGAUGAAGGACGUGCUAAUCUGCGAUAAGCGUCGGUGAGGUGAUAUGAACCGUUAUAACCGGCGAUUUCCGAAUGGGGAAACCCAGUGUGUUUCGACACACUAUCAUUAACUGAAUCCAUAGGUUAAUGAGGCGAACCGGGGGAACUGAAACAUCUAAGUACCCCGAGGAAAAGAAAUCAACCGAGAUUCCCCCAGUAGCGGCGAGCGAACGGGGAGCAGCCCAGAGCCUGAAUCAGUGUGUGUGUUAGUGGAAGCGUCUGGAAAGGCGCGCGAUACAGGGUGACAGCCCCGUACACAAAAAUGCACAUGCUGUGAGCUCGAUGAGUAGGGCGGGACACGUGGUAUCCUGUCUGAAUAUGGGGGGACCAUCCUCCAAGGCUAAAUACUCCUGACUGACCGAUAGUGAACCAGUACCGUGAGGGAAAGGCGAAAAGAACCCCGGCGAGGGGAGUGAAAAAGAACCUGAAACCGUGUACGUACAAGCAGUGGGAGCCUCUUUAUGGGGUGACUGCGUACCUUUUGUAUAAUGGGUCAGCGACUUAUAUUCUGUAGCAAGGUUAACCGAAUAGGGGAGCCGAAGGGAAACCGAGUCUUAACUGGGCGUUAAGUUGCAGGGUAUAGACCCGAAACCCGGUGAUCUAGCCAUGGGCAGGUUGAAGGUUGGGUAACACUAACUGGAGGACCGAACCGACUAAUGUUGAAAAAUUAGCGGAUGACUUGUGGCUGGGGGUGAAAGGCCAAUCAAACCGGGAGAUAGCUGGUUCUCCCCGAAAGCUAUUUAGGUAGCGCCUCGUGAAUUCAUCUCCGGGGGUAGAGCACUGUUUCGGCAAGGGGGUCAUCCCGACUUACCAACCCGAUGCAAACUGCGAAUACCGGAGAAUGUUAUCACGGGAGACACACGGCGGGUGCUAACGUCCGUCGUGAAGAGGGAAACAACCCAGACCGCCAGCUAAGGUCCCAAAGUCAUGGUUAAGUGGGAAACGAUGUGGGAAGGCCCAGACAGCCAGGAUGUUGGCUUAGAAGCAGCCAUCAUUUAAAGAAAGCGUAAUAGCUCACUGGUCGAGUCGGCCUGCGCGGAAGAUGUAACGGGGCUAAACCAUGCACCGAAGCUGCGGCAGCGACACUAUGUGUUGUUGGGUAGGGGAGCGUUCUGUAAGCCUGCGAAGGUGUACUGUGAGGUAUGCUGGAGGUAUCAGAAGUGCGAAUGCUGACAUAAGUAACGAUAAAGCGGGUGAAAAGCCCGCUCGCCGGAAGACCAAGGGUUCCUGUCCAACGUUAAUCGGGGCAGGGUGAGUCGACCCCUAAGGCGAGGCCGAAAGGCGUAGUCGAUGGGAAACAGGUUAAUAUUCCUGUACUUGGUGUUACUGCGAAGGGGGGACGGAGAAGGCUAUGUUGGCCGGGCGACGGUUGUCCCGGUUUAAGCGUGUAGGCUGGUUUUCCAGGCAAAUCCGGAAAAUCAAGGCUGAGGCGUGAUGACGAGGCACUACGGUGCUGAAGCAACAAAUGCCCUGCUUCCAGGAAAAGCCUCUAAGCAUCAGGUAACAUCAAAUCGUACCCCAAACCGACACAGGUGGUCAGGUAGAGAAUACCAAGGCGCUUGAGAGAACUCGGGUGAAGGAACUAGGCAAAAUGGUGCCGUAACUUCGGGAGAAGGCACGCUGAUAUGUAGGUGAAGCGACUUGCUCGUGGAGCUGAAAUCAGUCGAAGAUACCAGCUGGCUGCAACUGUUUAUUAAAAACACAGCACUGUGCAAACACGAAAGUGGACGUAUACGGUGUGACGCCUGCCCGGUGCCGGAAGGUUAAUUGAUGGGGUUAGCGGUAACGCGAAGCUCUUGAUCGAAGCCCCGGUAAACGGCGGCCGUAACUAUAACGGUCCUAAGGUAGCGAAAUUCCUUGUCGGGUAAGUUCCGACCUGCACGAAUGGCGUAAUGAUGGCCAGGCUGUCUCCACCCGAGACUCAGUGAAAUUGAACUCGCUGUGAAGAUGCAGUGUACCCGCGGCAAGACGGAAAGACCCCGUGAACCUUUACUAUAGCUUGACACUGAACAUUGAGCCUUGAUGUGUAGGAUAGGUGGGAGGCUUUGAAGUGUGGACGCCAGUCUGCAUGGAGCCGGCCUUGAAAUACCACCCUUUAAUGUUUGAUGUUCUAACGUUGGCCCGUAAUCCGGGUUGCGGACAGUGUCUGGUGGGUAGUUUGACUGGGGCGGUCUCCUCCUAAAGAGUAACGGAGGAGCACGAAGGUUGGCUAAUCCUGGUCGGACAUCAGGAGGUUAGUGCAAUGGCAUAAGCCAGCUUGACUGCGAGCGUGACGGCGCGAGCAGGUGCGAAAGCAGGUCAUAGUGAUCCGGUGGUUCUGAAUGGAAGGGCCAUCGCUCAACGGAUAAAAGGUACUCCGGGGAUAACAGGCUGAUACCGCCCAAGAGUUCAUAUCGACGGCGGUGUUUGGCACCUCGAUGUCGGCUCAUCACAUCCUGGGGCUGAAGUAGGUCCAAGGGUAUGGCUGUUCGCCAUUUAAAGUGGUACGCGAGCUGGGUUUAGAACGUCGUGAGACAGUUCGGUCCCUAUCUGCCGUGGGCGCUGGAGAACUGAGGGGGGCUGCUCCUAGUACGAGAGGACCGGAGUGGACGCAUCACUGGUGUUCGGGUUGUCAUGCCAAUGGCACUGCCCGGUAGCUAAAUGCGGAAGAGAUAAGUGCUGAAAGCAUCUAAGCACGAAACUUGCCCCGAGAUGAGUUCUCCCUGACUCCUUGAGAGUCCUGAAGGAACGUUGAAGACGACGACGUUGAUAGGCCGGGUGUGUAAGCGCAGCGAUGCGUUGAGCUAACCGGUACUAAUGAACCGUGAGGCUUAACCUU
This 2901-nucleotide ribosomal RNA is filed under the name Escherichia coli. RNAcentral's name for it is "bacterial LSU rRNA". It matches the Rfam family "Bacterial large subunit ribosomal RNA". Lineage: Bacteria; Pseudomonadati; Pseudomonadota; Gammaproteobacteria; Enterobacterales; Enterobacteriaceae. The record is from RNAcentral.